CCUACGGGAGGCUGCAGUGAGGAAUAUUGGUCAAUGGACAAGAGUCUGAACCAGCCAAGUAGCGUGAAGGAUGACUGCCCUAUGGGUUGUAAACUUCUUUUAUAUGGGAAUAAAAUGUUCCACGUGUGGGAUUUUGUAUGUACUAUAUGAAUAAGGAUCGGCUAACUCCGUGCCAGCAGCCGCGGUAAUACGGAGGAUCCGAGCGUUAUCCGGAUUUAUUGGGUUUAAAGGGCGCGUAGGUGGUUUGUUAAGUCAGUUGUGAAAGUUUGCGGCUCAACCGUAAAAUUGCAGUUGAUACUGGCAGUCUUGAGUACAGUGGAGGUAGGCGGAAUUCGUGGUGUAGCGGUGAAAUGCUUAGAUAUCACGAAGAACUCCGAUUGCGAAGGCAGUUCACUGGACUGCAACUGACACUGAGGCUCGAAAGUGUGGGUAUCAAACAGGAUUAGAUACCCGGGUAGUC
RNAcentral lists this ribosomal RNA (460 nucleotides) under uncultured bacterium. Its description in RNAcentral is "partial 16S ribosomal RNA". It matches the Rfam family "Bacterial small subunit ribosomal RNA", at positions 338 to 795 of the family's 1533-position model. The record is from RNAcentral.